This 450-nucleotide ribosomal RNA is filed under the name uncultured bacterium. RNAcentral describes it as "partial 16S ribosomal RNA". It matches the Rfam family "Bacterial small subunit ribosomal RNA", at positions 354 to 796 of the family's 1533-position model. The record is from RNAcentral.
GUGGGGAAUUUUGGACAAUGGGCGAAAGCCUGAUCCAGCAAUGCCGCGUGUGUGAAGAAGGCCUUCGGGUUGUAAAGCACUUUUGGCAGGGAAGAAACAGUGCGUGCUAAUACCAUGCGCGAAUGACGGUACCUGCAGAAUAAGCACCGGCUAACUACGUGCCAGCAGCCGCGGUAAUACGUAGGGUGCAAGCGUUAAUCGGAAUUACUGGGCGUAAAGCGUGCGCAGGCGGCUUUGUAAGACGGAUGUGAAAGCCCCGGGCUCAACCUGGGAAGUGCAUUCGUGACUGCAAGGCUCGAGUGUGUCAGAGGGAGGUGGAAUUCCGCGUGUAGCAGUGAAAUGCGUAGAGAUGCGGAGGAACACCGAUGGCGAAGGCAGCCUCCUGGGAUAACACUGACGCUCAGGCACGAAAGCGUGGGGAGCAAACAGGAUUAGAAACCCGUGUAGUCC